AGAGUUUGAUCAUGGCUCAGAUUGAGCGCUGGCGGUAUGCUUAACACAUGCAAGUCGAACGGUAACAGUCCCUCACCUAGAAAUUUCUUAAAAAGAGAUUUGUAGGUGAGGGAGCUGACGAGUGGCGGACGGGUGCGUAAUGUAUAGGAAUCUGCCUAGUAGUGGGGGACAACUCGGAGAAAUUCGAGCUAAUACCGCAUAAGCCCUACGGGGGAAAACGGGGGAUCUUCGGACCUCGUGCUAUUAGAUGAGCCUAUAUUAGAUUAGCUUGUUGGUGAGGUAAUGGCUCACCAAGGCGACGAUCUAUAGCUGGUCUGAGAGGAUGAUCAGCCACACUGGGACUGAGACACGGCCCAGACUCCUACGGGAGGCAGCAGUGGGGAAUAUUGGACAAUGGGCGAAAGCCUGAUCCAGCAAUACCGCGUGUGUGAAGAAGGCCUGAGGGUUGUAAAGCACUUUCAAUUGGGAGGAAUACCUAAUAGUUAAUAGCUAUUAGAUUGAC
This 502-nucleotide ribosomal RNA is filed under the name uncultured bacterium. Its description in RNAcentral is "bacterial SSU rRNA". It matches the Rfam family "Bacterial small subunit ribosomal RNA", at positions 8 to 473 of the family's 1533-position model. The record is from RNAcentral.